Phasianus colchicus (ring-necked pheasant) is the source of this 2298-nucleotide long non-coding RNA. RefSeq lists it as uncharacterized. The record is from RefSeq and is a predicted model, not a curated record. NCBI's taxonomy places the organism in Eukaryota, Metazoa, Chordata, Aves, Galliformes, Phasianidae.
UCAGUAUCCCUGAAGAAGUGACUGACAGACGAGUACAUGGCUUAUAUUUAUCUUAGGAAAAAUAUUGAGGUUGGCGCAAGCAGGGAGACAGCAGAGUCACAGUGAUCCUCAGGAAGGCAAAAGGGCAAGGCUCUGUGCAUCGGGUGAAUGACAGACCUGAAGUUAAGCAAACCAAGUUAGAAGUCUCAAAACCAUUGUCUCGUGGUCUGGGAGGUGCUCUGAUGCCAACAUGCUUUGGGUACUGGCUGCAUGGAAGGCAGAUGCCUUUUAUCCAAAAAAAAAAGGAGUGUUCUCCAUAGGAAAUGUUUGUGUACAUACUGCAACACCAAUUUCAGAAAAUAGAUUACCUCUGAGGAAACCAUCUGUUUCUGCAUCCCGUGAACUUUCAGUGGGAACUGAUCCUGGAUACACCCAGACUAGCAAUAUGGCAUACUUCAGCAACGCAGGAAAAUAAGCUUUCAGCAGCUGACCUGCAGAUGUGAUGAAGUCUCUGUCGCCUGGGAUCUUUAAAUCAAGACUUAACAUCUUCUAGAGGGUAUGCUACAGCACAGAGAGGACUUGCAGGCAUGCCUGCAGUAUAGAUAUUGCUGGAAGAGGUUCUGCAAUCUCGUUAACAAAUGCUGUAUAGAUAAAUUAGCACAGUCAUUGCUUCAAGCCUUAAAAAUCUAUUAAUACUCUCAAUACCUGGUUUUUGAAAUAAUCAUGCCAUCCUCUUGCAAACCACAUGCCUGAAACUGUGGUCAGACUAUGGGUUAAUUACGCCUGCGAACAGGUCUGGAUUGUACAGCUGAGAAAUCCGAGGCAACAAAACCUUAAUUGGCUUUUCCAAGGGCAUCCAGCUAAUCACUGGGAACGCCAGGCACUGAGCCCAGGGGAGAGGUGCUUCCUCCACUCCCUGCAUUUCCCUCUUCCAACCACUGAUAACAGCAGCAGUAUGGGCUGAGAUCGACUGCAGAGCGUGGACUUGACUCAGCAUCAUCUGGUUCUGUGCUGAGGGAGGCAUCUCCCAGCCACGGUCUCCCUGUUGAUGUGUCCAGCUCCUGACACAAGUAUGUCAUCACCCCAUCCCUGAACUCGUGUGCUGAUGGGCAGCCUUUUGUUUGGACUCCCUUAAAAGUCACAUCCUGGAUCCUUUAGCUUCAAUUCUAGCAGUUGAACGGACCUGCCAUCUCAUCCUGCCUCUUCUGACCAUCUGAUUCCUUGUGUUAAAGAUUGGUCGAUUCAUUUCCCAGAUCCACUCAGUCAUCAAAGAUUAAGCAGCCCUUGGUUUAUCUAUUAAAGGCAGGCAAUUAGUUCCCUCAUGCUGACUCUCAGUGAGAGUUGGGGACACGAUGACUUUGUCCAUGAAACUCCUACAAGAGUAGGAGCACGAUGGCUUCCUACAGAUCCACGGCGGUCACCCACCGUGGAGAAAAACUGAUUUCUUUCCAGCAUGCAAACAGCUGAUUGAACAUCCCCAAGGGCCUUCCAAACCAAUCUGAAAAAAAGAAUCUGGGGGAAAAAGCUGCAAGGUUGGCAAACAUUGCCGCAGCCACGGCUGGUGCCCGGGAAAGGACAGUGCUGGGAGCUCAGCUAAUGCACGUCGCCUCUGCCUCGCAAAGCCAGCAGAGGAGAAAAUGUCAGAGAAUUGGCCUGUCAAAAUGACGAAGCUGAAAAAGCAAGAGCAGUGCAGAAAUUCAAGCUGUCGACAAAAUGCUUGAAGCAGCCUGCUGGGACCAGAGCCCAUGGAUGUGCUGAGAUGCAGGGGGGAGAAACCACUGGCCCCAUUCCACAGCACUGCUCCUGGGCUGGUCACGACCAUCCCUUCCAUACACCUAGGGGCUCUGGGGGGUUAUUUUCUUUUGAUUUUUUUUUUCCAUUUGGUUUUGGAGUGUUUUUGUAUGUGUGUUUAGCCUAUCUGUUUUUCCCAGUCUGAUUGUUAAAUUCUGGCUUUAAACUCUAGUUAGCUCAUGCAAUUGAUUCAUCUGCAGACCAUUCCUCAGCUCAUUGCCACGCACCCACCUGAAGCACCCACUCUUUGUCCUUGGUAGUUUACUCUUCUUUUUUCAAACAGACUCGCCAUUAGCACCUGCUCAGUCAUCACUUAACCAACAUAGGUAGCUCUACCACAUCUGUCACCAUAAAUCACAGCCUCCAGACUGGGAUAUUUUUCACUCCCCUUCUAUGAGCUCUUCCCUGUUUACCAAUAUCUUCCUGGGACUGGGUUUUAACCAUAUCCUAAGGCCCACUGCAGUAGCCUCUGGGGAGGCUUUGAAAUUAUAUUCCCAAUGGCUUGAAAAAACAAAACUUGAGGCUGUG